This 253-nucleotide ribosomal RNA is filed under the name uncultured bacterium. RNAcentral's name for it is "partial 16S ribosomal RNA". It matches the Rfam family "Bacterial small subunit ribosomal RNA", at positions 524 to 776 of the family's 1533-position model. The record is from RNAcentral.
GACGAACCGUGCGAACGUUAUUCGGAAUCACUGGGCUUAAAGGGCGCGUAGGCGGGCUGACAAGUCUGGGGUGAAAUCCCACGGCUCAACCGUGGAACUGCCUUAGAUACUGUCGGCCUCGAGGAAGGUGGGGGCAUGCGGAACUGUAGGUGGAGCGGUGAAAUGCGUUGAUAUCUACAGGAACUCCGGUGGCGAAAGCGGCGUGCUGGACCUUUUCUGACGCUGAGGCGCGAAAGCUAGGGGAGCAAACGGG